Molecule: long non-coding RNA, 1181 nt
Filed under: Cyanistes caeruleus (blue tit)
Lineage: Eukaryota; Metazoa; Chordata; Aves; Passeriformes; Paridae
Description: lncRNA (ENSCCEG00000009719.1)
Source: RNAcentral
UAUAAAAGUCCACAUGCACUUUGUUGUAUAUACCAAUAAAAAGCAUUCACUACAUUCACCAUAAAUUACAAAAGAUUUUACUUCUCAUCAUUUUUCUGAGCUUCUUCUUCUCAUACUAUAAACAACCUUGCAAGCACUCUAGAGUGACAACGUAAAAGUUAGUAUUGAAUGGCUUUUUCUUCUCCAUUCCAUCACUCAGUACUUCAGUGCAUCUAAUAUUUAUACUGAAAUAUGUCACAUCUGCUGGGCAAGAAGAGGUAUUUUUGACAUGUUUCAACAGGCCUGCUCAAGUAAUUUUUUAUGAAUAUGGGGGAAAAUUAAUUAAGCAAAACUUUCAAUUUAUUUUUUGCAUUCCUAGCUCAGGAACUUGUAUAAAGGAUUAAGCAUAUUAAGAAGAUAUGGGUUCUGUAUCACUGAAUGCAGGCAUAUAUGUAAACAACAGCUGAGGAAAUGUUUUUCCUUAUGGUCUCUCUUUUGCAAACUCUAAUCCCAGGAGAAAUGUUGAGCAACAGCAACAGUGACUGUGUGGGUGAGUAAAAGAAUGCAUUUGCUGAACGCCCAUAGCACUGACCAGCUAGAUAUUUUCAGUCAGCACAAUUCACAGUCUCUCAUCCCUGUCACACUUCCAGUCUGGUCUGGUGACAGCAAUAGAGAGGAGCUAAGAACAUUGACAAAUUCUUGUCAUCAGUGUCCUUCAGAGGCACACAGAAAAGAUUCACAUAGCCCAAGGAUGAAAAAAGCAAACAUGUGGGAAGGAAAUCAUAUGGACUCAAGUGCUUAAUAUGAAGGAGAGAUCAAAGGCCAAAAAAAUAACACCAUCUAUACUGAGGGGGAAAGAACAAAGAAGGAGACAGAAAAGCUUUCUUUACUAGGUGUGGAUAGCUUGCAAACUGUGAUGGUGGAUAGAGAUGAUAACAACCCUUCUCUCUAAAUGGUUGUGCAAAGUGCAGCGUCAAGUCCCACACCUGGAUUUAUAAUCUCCAAUGUGCUUAGGAUGAAGCAAAUGAAGAAGCUCUGUGGAAAAGGCAGGACCAGACCAUACACACUCCAAUUAAUCCCAAAGUUAUACGUGGGUAAGAAUUUACACUGGGUCUUCUUACACUGGUUCCUCUUGGGCAUAUAGCCCAAAAGACUUUUACUUGUCUGGUCUCCAAACAGAAACCGUGAAAAGUCUCCUUCCC